This 497-nucleotide ribosomal RNA is filed under the name uncultured bacterium. Its description in RNAcentral is "partial 16S ribosomal RNA". It matches the Rfam family "Bacterial small subunit ribosomal RNA", at positions 28 to 507 of the family's 1533-position model. The record is from RNAcentral.
GAUGAACGCUGGCGGCGUGCCUAAUACAUGCAAGUCGAGCGAACAGACGAGGAGCUUGCUCCUUUGACGUUAGCGGCGGACGGGUGAGUAACACGUAGGUAACCUACCUAUAAGACUGGGAUAACUUCGGGAAACCGGAGCUAAUACCGGAUAAUAUUUCGAACCGCAUGGUUCGAUAGUGAAAGAUGGCUUUGCUAUCACUUAUAGAUGGACCUGCGCCGUAUUAGCUAGUUGGUAAGGUAACGGCUUACCAAGGCAACGAGACGUAGCCGACCUGAGAGGGGGAUCGGCCACACGGGAACUGAGACACGGACCAGACUCCUACGGGAGGCAGCAGUAGGGAAUCGUCCGCAAUGGGCGAAAGCCUGACGGAGCAACGGCGCGUGAGUGAUGAAGGUCUUCGGAGCGGAAAACUCUGUUAUUAGGGAAGAACAAACGUGUAAGUAACUGUGCACGGCUUGACGGUACCUAAUCAGAAAGCCACGGCUAACUACGUG